UGACAAUGCGUGAAGACUAUGCAGCAACAUUGUAUAAUUGACUUGAGAUGUACAGUGUUCUUACUGGAUGUUGGUGUUUAUUUACCACAGCGGAAUCAAGUUUUGAGGGGAGGAGUCCAUAACAACAACUUGUAAUUGUCAUACCAAUUUGUGAUGGAUCAGACAUUCUUGAACUUCAUUGUGAUUGUAUUCUUUAGCCCAGGAAAAUAGAAAUUCUUUUUCCCUCCUCUUCUUCUGUUUUUAGAGGAAAAAAAUUCAUAUAUUAUCGCAUUGUGGAAUUGGUAAAACAAUUUUCUGUAAUAGAGACCCGUGGACAGUGUAUAUUUUGUAUACUAAUGAAAGCAAACUGAAUGUAGCAAGGCCG
RNAcentral lists this unclassified non-coding RNA (364 nucleotides) under Hevea brasiliensis (rubber tree). The record is from RNAcentral. Lineage: Eukaryota; Viridiplantae; Streptophyta; Magnoliopsida; Malpighiales; Euphorbiaceae.